This 253-nucleotide ribosomal RNA is filed under the name uncultured bacterium. RNAcentral's name for it is "partial 16S ribosomal RNA". It matches the Rfam family "Bacterial small subunit ribosomal RNA", at positions 524 to 776 of the family's 1533-position model. The record is from RNAcentral.
UACGUAGGAUGCAAGCGUUAUCCGGAAUUAUUGGGCGUAAAGAGUGUGUAGGUGGUCUGUUAAGUUAAAUGUUAAAUCUCAGGGCUCAACCCAGAGGCUGCAUUUAAUACUGGCAGACUUGAGGUAUGGAGAGGUAAGCGGAAUUAGUAGUGUAGCAGUGAAAUGCGUAGAUAUUACUAGGAACACCAAUGGCGAAGGCAGCUUACUGGCCAUAUCCUGACACUGAGACACGAAAGCGUGGGGAGCGAACGGG